Molecule: long non-coding RNA, 789 nt
Organism: Cyprinus carpio carpio
Lineage: Eukaryota; Metazoa; Chordata; Actinopteri; Cypriniformes; Cyprinidae
Source: Ensembl
CGGGAAUAACUCAAUCACAUGGAGUACAUCAGAAAUUGAACGGACAUCUGUACUGUAUCCAGUGUAGACUGUGUCAGCAAUUAUAAUGGGUUCUAUGACACAGUAGACACAGUAGUCUUUUGACACAGUAGUCAUUGUAGACAGCUGUAAAGCAAAUGAACACCAGUAGGCGGGGCCUAUAGUGCAGUUAUGUAAAACUAUUUGUUAAUGUCUUGCUCUGGAGACAGUCAUAUGCAAAUGUAUUUACCAGUGUGAUGUCACAAAACCUACAACAAUAAAGUUACCAGUUAAGUAAUGAUGUUGUGUUAUUAUGUAAAGCUGUUUGUUUUUGUCAAUUAAUACUUUAUUGUGGUGCAUCAGUCUAAUCUAAUCUUAUCGUCAAAUAGUCUUCUUUUAAUGUUUUAUUUACAUUUAUCACCAGCAGGACAAAACAGGCAUUUCAGCUCAAGGGCUUCUUCAGUGCAUUUUUGAGCCCUUUGAUCACCCCCCUGGAGCCGUGUGAGGCACUUUUUUAUUAUGGAUGGAUGCGCUUUAUUUCACUUCCUUUGGACUGAUGAACUGUAACACCCGCUGACUGCCAUUAAACAGCUUGGAACAUCAAAGUCAAUUUUUAAUAUAACUCAGAUUGGAUUCAUCUGAAAGAAGGAAGUCACAUACGCCUAGGAUUGCUUUAGGGGUUGUUCCACCAGCUGUAUUCCCUGCUGUGAAAGAUAAGUGAUCCAUCAAACCAAACAUCCAGAUUUAUCUCUGUUAAUGAGUGCCAAUGACUCACGUAGGGCAUGCAAGAGG